This is a long non-coding RNA of Oncorhynchus nerka (sockeye salmon), 3015 nucleotides long. RefSeq lists it as uncharacterized. The record is from RefSeq and is a predicted model, not a curated record. NCBI's taxonomy places the organism in Eukaryota, Metazoa, Chordata, Actinopteri, Salmoniformes, Salmonidae. The transcript has 5 exons.
CACCUGUAUAAGAUCCAGGAAAACAAAUGGCAAGAGUUGUGGAAUCAGGGAGAGAAAGGGAAGUCACCUGUAUAAGAUCCAGGAAAACAAAUGGCAAGAGUUGUGGAAUCAGGGAGAGAAAGGGAAGUCACCUGUAUAAGAUCCAGGAAAACAAAUGGCAAGAGUUGUGGAAUCAGGGAGAGAAAGGGAAGUCACCUGUAUAAGAUCCAGGAAAACAAAUGGCAAGAGUUGUGGAAUCAGGGAGAGAAAGGGAAGUCACCUGUAUAAGAUCCAGGAAAAGUUGGUGGCAGGGAGGUCCUCAGGUCGAAGGGAGGAAAGUGUAGUCACAAGGCUGAGACUGUUGACAGUUGAAAACAUGUUCAGUUUCAGUGCAAGGAAUAUGUGAGGAAAAGGGAUGGAUUGUUAUUAGAUUUGAGGAAUAAUGGGGUUAAAUGAACUGGGGAAAUCUUCAGGUGCUGUAGUAUUUAAUUAUGUAUUUCGUUUCAUUAGGGAGAUGAGAUUAUUGGGUAUGAUUUAGACCUUCACUGUCUCUGGUCCAAACUCCAGUCAAUUUGGUGGCGGUAAUGCACCUGAAAGUUGGUUGCCAACCGCCAUAUAAAAUCCGCAGGAGUAGAGCGCUCGUCAAAGGAGUCAGCUCAUGGGUGACGACUGAUGGUCAUGUUGAAUACAUGAAGAGAAUUCCUGGUGCCCGGUGUCUGACCCGCUGGGUGAAUGGGGAAAAAGAAGGAAGUCUUUCGGUCCUGUUGUUUUUUUUAAUAAAGAGCAAAUACCUACGCAUGUGAAGCUUGGUUACGUAAGAUACGCCGUAAGAACUUUCGUCCAAAAACCACUGCCGUUUAAGAAUUGUAAAGGAUUUUGCCAUGUUUCAAGUGUGUGCAGACUAACAGAGUAUAGUGAAGAACGGUGUGCAGAAGGAGAACAGUAUUGCAAUUGUGGUAGGGAUCAUGUUCCUGGAGUGCCAUGUAAGGGUGAAGGAAAUUGAGGUGGCAAGUGUUAAAGCGGUCAAAUCGAAUCGCUUAUGCGGAGGCGAUUAAAAUAAUUGAGGAAACAAGUGAUGCUAGUGAAGAUAUGGUAGUGGAAACACCACAGCCUUAAGUAAAUGUUUGCUGUCAGACAGAAUAAACGCUGUGUGUCUUUUAAAAAGGUGAUUUUUGUUUUUUUGAGUUCAUUGCCACAGUUACAAAUUGUAGAGCACAAGUCAUAAAUAACAAAAAAACAACAACUGGACAUUAUUGUGGCUGUGGCAGAAAAGUUUUUGGGACUCAAGGAUUUUACAUCUGAAGACUUGCAAGAGGUACUGGAGCGGGAAGACCUGCCCUCCCAGGUUCCCAUUGAGCCUGUGUAGGGAUCAGAUCUGUUUCAUUAAUUUAUUUUUAACAGAAAAGUUAUAUUUUUUUAAUUGGGGGGGGGAAUCCUGUUUUCCAUCCCGUGUCGUUGUUGUCGGUAUGCACAUUAAAUUGUGUGGUCGCCAAGAUGCCGUAGAAACGUUUCGGGCAGGACAGAGAAAGGAUUAAGCAAUUUUGUGACAGCCAGGAAGAUACAACUUGGAAUGUUAGCUAAGAUGCUUAACUUAUCAUGAAGUUAGCAUGCCAAUAGGACGAACUCCACAACAACUGAACAUAGUUGCUUGCACCACCUGGAUAACUAGCAUUAGCCGGCUAACGUUACUGCUGACUGGUAGCAAGCUAGCAGGCUGGCUAGCUAGCCCUACCUGGCUACUGGCUAUAGUCAUGUUAGCUAGUAGUAGCUAGUGGAAGUAAGUUAGUCCCUCGACCAGCUACAAGAAGAGGUACCUGCUGCAGAAAGGUGAGAUUUCUACAGUACUUUCUGUAGCUAAUUUAGCUAGAUAGUCUGUCCGGCUGGUGCUUAUUGACUGAGUAGGCUAAUAAUGAACUGCAGUUAUUGUGAAUGGUUACCCAUCUGGCCCUUUGCAUAGCUAUUUCUUACACAUUCAAUACAACUAUAUCCAUUUAAGCUACAGUCAAUGCUGAUAUUUGUGUGUGUGUGUGGGGGGGUGUCAGAACGUGCCUGCAAAAGGACAGUCCGCAUCUGAACAGAUCAUCAACUUCAUCCAGUUACAUCAGCCAAUACAGUAAGUUACAAUCGGGGUCUGCCCUGACAGUCCUGAAGAACGACGGAGAGGACUACAUCUUCACCACGGCAAACCGAUCCCUCUGUCCAGACCUUCAGUUCUGCUACCGGUACAAGAAAUUCACGACCUACUUCCAUUGACUGUUCACUCGUCUAGAGUGUUGGGCAUUGAGCUGCCAACCUGAGGGAGUGACACCAAUAAGGCAGCAUGCGGAUCCUUAAGGGUAAACUCUUCCAGAGGACGAAAGUGUUAAAUCUCCCUGCGCCUGAAGGCUUACUAUGAGGCACGGGUGACUGACAUUGUCCUUGGCCGCUGGGAAAUGUUCCAGCAACUUCCUCCUGACAACAUUGGAGAUGAGGGAUUUGAUGAGGGAGUUGCUGAAGACAACAGGAGAUGGAUACCCUUUCACUACCUGUGGUGUGGGAAAAGGAUACAUCAACACCCUGAAGAGAUGUUUGUGGUGUACUCACUCAUAACAUGUUUUUGAGUGAUUAAUGACUAUCAUCUUCAAGGUUGACAAGAAGCAAUCAGUUACAAGUCAAAAAGACAGAUUGAGGCCUUCAAUCGAACUGAGGACAGAGAAAUAUGUGUGAACCGGGUCAAGGCUUCUUGCAUGCAUAACUUUUAGAUUGCAUGUAUUCAAAAAUCUUUGGACGACGUACUUCCACAGGGCUGCCAUCUACAAAGUUCACUCAAAAAGGCUAUAGUUCUGAACCAAGUUAGAUUUUUAGUUUUAAUUCACAUUCUCAUCUCUUAAGCUUCAAUUGGUUAAUGGCUAAUUGCUCAGUUAUGACUUGGCUCAUGUAAAUUCUGUAGUUUCCCCUUUAAACAUCCUAAAGUCAACAUCCUCAUAGUGUUCACAUUUCUCAUGUAAAUGUUGUUGCUACAUAAAAAUAUUAAAUAAACAAUUUAUUUGGGAAAUA